RNAcentral lists this ribosomal RNA (395 nucleotides) under uncultured bacterium. RNAcentral describes it as "bacterial SSU rRNA". It matches the Rfam family "Bacterial small subunit ribosomal RNA", at positions 505 to 898 of the family's 1533-position model. The record is from RNAcentral.
GUGUCAGCAGCCGCGGUAAUACGUAGGUUGCGAGCGUUAUUCGGAUUUACUGGGCGUAAAGAGCACCGAGGUGGCUUCUUAAGUUGGAUGUAAAAUCUCCUGGCUUAACUGGGAGGCGCCAUUCAAAACUGAGGAGCUUGAGGUCAGCAGGGGAAGGUGGAAUUCCCGGUGUAGUGGUGGAAUGCGUAGAGAUCGGGAGGAACACCAGUGGCGAAAGCGACCUUCUGGGCUGCACCUGACACUCUAGUGCGAAAGCGUGGGGAGCAAACAGGAUUAGAUACCCUGGUAGUCCACGCCCUAAACGAUGGAUACUAGGUGUGGGAGGUAUUGACCCCUUCCGUGCCGAAGCCAACGCGUUAAGUAUCCCGCCUGGGGACUACGGCCGCAAGGUUAAA